UGAAUACGAGACGCUAAGGCGUCGAAGUAGUGUAUGUCAUACUUCCAAGAAAAGCUUGCACUGUCAUAGAUAAAAAACGCCUGUACCAUAACCGACACAGGUGGGUAGGUAGAGUAUACUAAGGGGCGCGAGAUAACUCUCUCUAAGGAACUCGGCAAAAUAACUCCGUAACUUCGGGAGAAGGAGUGCCUUAUUCGUAAGGUUGCAAUAACAAGAUCCAAGCAACUGUUUAUCAAAAACACAGGUCUCCGCUAAGUCGUAAGACGAUGUAUGGGGGCUGACGCCUGCCCAGUGCCAGAAGGUUAAAGAAGUUGGUUAGCAAUUGCGAAGCUGAUAACUGAAGCCCUGGUGAACGGCGGCCGUAACAAUAACGGUCCUAAGGUAGCGAAAUUCCUUGUCGGGUAAGUUCCGUCCCGCACGAAAGGCGUAAUGAUUUGGAUACUGUCUCGGAGAGGGGCUCGGUGAAAUAGACUUGUCUGUGAAGAUGCGGACUACCUGCACCAGGACAGAAAGACCCUAUGAAGCUUUACUGUAACUUGAAAUUGAAAUUGGACUUUAUUCGCGCAGUAUAGGUGGGAGGCGUUGAUUAUAAUCUUGGGGAUUAUUGGAGCCAUCAGUGAGAUACCACUCUUGUAAUGUUAGAUUUCUAACUUUGAAUCAUUAUCUGGUCAAAGAACAGUUUCAGGCGGGCAGUUUGACUGGGGCGGUCGCCUCCUAAACGGUAACGGGGGCGUACAAAGGUUUCCUCUGAACGGUUAGAAAUCGUAUCUAGAGUGUAAAGGCAUAAGGAAGCUUGACUGUGAGACCUACAAGUCGAGCAGGGACGAAAGUCGGUCUUAGUGAUCUGACGGUACUGAGUGGAAAGGCCGUCACUCAACGGAUAAAAGUUACUCUAGGAUAACAGGCUGAUCUCCCCCAAGAGUUCACAUCGACGGGGAGGUUUGGCACCUCGAUGUCGGCUCAUCGCAUCCUGGGGCGGUAGUACGUCCCAAGGGUUGGGCUGUUCGCCCAUGAAAGCGGUACGCGAGCUGGGUUCAGAACGUCGUGAGACAGUUCGGUCCAUAUCCGGUGUAGGCGUUAGAAUAUUGAGAGGAGCCUUCUUUAGUACGAGAGGACCGAGAAGGACAUACCUCUGGUGUACCAGUUAUCGUGCCAACGGUAAACGCUGGGUAGCUAUGUAUGGAGUGGAUAACCGCUGAAAGCAUCUAAGUGGGAAGCCCACCUCAAGAUAAGUAUUCUCA
RNAcentral lists this ribosomal RNA (1241 nucleotides) under metagenome. RNAcentral's name for it is "bacterial LSU rRNA". It matches the Rfam family "Bacterial large subunit ribosomal RNA", at positions 1564 to 2816 of the family's 2925-position model. The record is from RNAcentral.